Molecule: long non-coding RNA, 2536 nt
Filed under: Gallus gallus (chicken)
Lineage: Eukaryota; Metazoa; Chordata; Aves; Galliformes; Phasianidae
Source: RNAcentral
UUUGCAGUGACCUUUAGCAAAUCUUUCCCUUUUGUUAUCAGUUAAUUAAAUAUUUGGGGUACUAAUAAUGCCUUGCUGAAGCCAUCCCUGCUUUCUUUUUGUGUACACAUAUGAAACAACAGGGGGAUAGUGUGAACAUUUUAAUUUUUUAUUGAGAUUCUCUCUUGCAUUUUUUUUCCCCUCUCUUUCCCUCUCUCUCUCUGGUUUUCCCCUCCCAUGUGCGAUUUUACUUGCUGGAAAUCUCAUUAAAAGUUAUUUAUGAGCUGCUAGUGAUCCCGUAAGGAUUACACCUAAUUCAGUCUGUAAAGCUUUUGAGUUACAUUGCUUCCCAGGAAUAGUCCCCACAGCAAGAAGGACCACCUUUCCCAUUGUUUGACUUUCCUUAUCAUUAGUAUAAAUACUUCAUGAGAGGUUCCUUACAAAUGCAGAAUGGAUCUCUGACUGGACUUAGGCACAAAGUGCCAUUUGGUGCAUUAAGAUUUUUGCUUCCUAAUGCUUUGGUUCAUCCAAUUUUACAGGUGAGGAAACUAAUGAUUCAUAAAGGUGACAUCAUUUGUGCAAAACUCACGGAAAGUGUUGAGAAAAGACUGUGUUUCCUUGAAAACAGCUAGAGGUUAAUAAUAUUAGGGUCUAGAGUUGUAUUUGCUAAUCAAAUUAAAUCUGCUAGCGAAACAUCAGAGGGGCUACAGAUCCAAGACAAACAUUCCUCAUCUCUCUGGAAGUGAAGGCUUUUCUCCUUUCUUAGCCUCUAAUUCUAUUGUCAAGUUGUAUGUUUUGAAUUAUUUCAGAGUGACAGCGAUACUGUGACUAAUAUAUUCAGAAUAUCACAUACAGCAUCAGAUAUUCUGUUGGUUGUUUUUUUUUCUUCUUUUUUUUCUUUUUCUGAAGACCUGGGACUUGGUGCUUCUCGGCCUUAGUUCACUUUACCUACUAUAAUUACAAUAAGAAGAAAAUAGAUAUUAGCUUCUUAUUUCCCUCCAAUAGAUGGAUAAGUUCAUGAAAAUGAAGAAGUUAAACAACCUGCUUGGGUCAGACUUGUCAGAAGUAGGAAUAUCAGUGAGGGUUAAUUUUGUUUCCAAGAAGACCGCACAGCCACCUUGUCAUGCUGAGGUGUUGGAAGGGGAAUAUGCAACAAUCAGAGCAGAAGAGAUUUCCCAGGGAUUAGGAUCUGACCACUGACACAUCAGAGUGUUUGAGCAUCUGACUCCCAUAAUUGUGAAUAAGCAUCUGUGAAACCAUAGCAUUUACAGCUCUCAAGCCAAAUUGGGCCAGUUUAUAGUGUUACGGACUGUGAGCACACCAAGAGAUGAUCUCUGCUGCAAUGAGAGGAAGCAGGAGUGAAAGUCCUCUUCCUUUACAGAUGUCAAGUGAAGAGGCUAUAAAUACCCUAACCAAGACACUGGAGACUGUGGCUGAAGCACACAAAAGCCAUCUCCCUCCACUUCUCUGAGCAUCACAUUUCACUUGCCAUGCUGGAUACACAGUGAACAGCUUCACCUGCCUUGGGACCAGCCACUGGAAAACUGACAUAGCCACCAGCAGUGCUAGAAAGACAUAAUGCUUAGACAGAGGAUACACCUUGUAAGGCUACAGAAGAAUUGUCACCCGUGCAAGCUGCCUACUAAGUGUAGCAUCAAGCAGAAAUAUAAAUUCAUCAUUGCUGCAGAAAGAGUGCUAUUAAAACAGGGAUAAUGACAUUUUAGUUGGGCUAAUGCAUUUUUUUCUUGUGCUUUCAAGGACCUGUCAAGUGACAAACCUAUUACAUCAGGUUUCCUGGUGCAACAGAAAUAUUUCACCACAAAGGGAAUGCUAUUAUCCGUUACACUAUCAGAACUCUGUUGAAGCCGUAGUGGAGACAUGAAGUACUGCGUUCAGUUUUGGACCCCUGACUACCAGAAGUACAUUGAAGCCCUGUAACACAUCCAGAGAAGGGCAAAGAAGCUGGUGAAGGGUCUGGAGCACAAGCCUUAUGAGGAAUGGCUAGGAAACCAAGAUUAUUCUGUCUGGAGAAGAGGAGGCUCAGGGGACAUAUUACUACUGUCUUCAGCUCCUUGAAAGGUUGUAGUGAGGUGGGGGUUGGCCUCUUCUCCUGAAUAACUAGUGAUAGGACAAAAGGGAAUCGCUUUAAGUUGCACCAGGGGAGGAUCAGGUUGGAUAUUAGGAGAAAUUUCUUCUCAGAAAGAGCAGUGAGGCAUUGGCACAGGCUGCCCAGGGAGGUGGUGGAGUCACUGUCCCUGGAGGUGUUCAAGAAACAUCAAGAUGUGGCACUCAGGGACAUGAUUUAGUGGUAUGUUGAUGAUGGGCUGAUGGUUGGACUAGGUGAUCUGAGUCAUCUUUUCCAACCUAAAUGAUUCUAUGAUUCUGUGGCUGGUUUCGUAGCACACUAGACCUUCUCCUUGGUUCUAAGCAUUUCUACAGAAAAGCAAAGAAGUGAACGCUUCAGUUGCAAAAACUCAGCAUUCCACAUACCCCAGAAACCACUGUUCCAGCUGGGCCUGUGGGCUCCCCAAAACCAGGCAGAAGCCCAAAGUCCUCA